This 69-nucleotide transfer RNA is filed under the name Euphausia superba (Antarctic krill). RNAcentral describes it as "tRNA-Glu". It matches the Rfam family "tRNA". Rfam says of the family: Transfer RNA (tRNA) molecules are approximately 80 nucleotides in length. Their secondary structure includes four short double-helical elements and three loops (D, anti-codon, and T loops). Lineage: Eukaryota; Metazoa; Arthropoda; Malacostraca; Euphausiacea; Euphausiidae. The record is from RNAcentral.
ACUUUUGUAGUGUAAUUUUAACACAUUGCAUUUUCGUUGCGAAGCUAAAGAAUUUAUCUUUCUAAAGUA